AUUGAACGCUGGCGGCAUGCCUUACACAUGCAAGUCGAACGGCAGCACGGGUGCUUGCACCUGGUGGCGAGUGGCGAACGGGUGAGUAAUACAUCGGAACAUGUCCUGUAGUGGGGGAUAGCCCGGCGAAAGCCGGAUUAAUACCGCAUACGAUCUACGGAUGAAAGCGGGGGACCUUCGGGCCUCGCGCUAUAGGGUUGGCCGAUGGCUGAUUAGCUAGUUGGUGGGGUAAAGGCCUACCAAGGUGACGAUCAGUAGCUGGUCUGAGAGGACGACCAGCCACACUGGGACUGAGACACGGCCCAGACUCCUACGGGAGGCAGCAGUGGGGAAUUUUGGACAAUGGGCGAAAGCCUGAUCCAGCAAUGCCGCGUGUGUGAAGAAGGCCUUCGGGUUGUAAAGCACUUUUGUCCGGAAAGAAAUCCUUGGCUCUAAUACAGUCGGGGGAUGACGGUACCGGAAGAAUAAGCACCGGCUAACUACGUG
RNAcentral lists this ribosomal RNA (486 nucleotides) under uncultured bacterium. Its description in RNAcentral is "partial 16S ribosomal RNA". It matches the Rfam family "Bacterial small subunit ribosomal RNA", at positions 30 to 507 of the family's 1533-position model. The record is from RNAcentral.